Molecule: transfer RNA, 75 nt
Filed under: Danionella cerebrum
Lineage: Eukaryota; Metazoa; Chordata; Actinopteri; Cypriniformes; Danionidae
Description: tRNA-Ala
Source: RNAcentral
GCUUUCCUGUGGCUCAGUUGGUAGAGCAUUACACAAGCAACACAAAAGUUGUGGGUUAAAAUCCCAAGGAAAGCA